AUACGGAGGGUGCAAGCGUUAAUCGGAAUUACUGGGCGUAAAGCGCGCGUAGGCGGCUUGAUAAGUCGGAUGUGAAAUCCCCGGGCUUAACCUGGGAAUUGCAUUCGAUACUGUCAGGCUAGAGUGUGGUAGAGGGAAGUGGAAUUUCCGGUGUAGCGGUGAAAUGCGUAGAUAUCGGAAAGAACAUCAGUGGCGAAGGCGGCUUCCUGGAUCAACACUGACGCUGAGGUGCGAAAGCGUGCGGAGCAAACAGGAUUAGAAACCCCAGUAGUCC
RNAcentral lists this ribosomal RNA (274 nucleotides) under uncultured bacterium. RNAcentral's name for it is "partial 16S ribosomal RNA". It matches the Rfam family "Bacterial small subunit ribosomal RNA", at positions 523 to 796 of the family's 1533-position model. The record is from RNAcentral.